RNAcentral lists this long non-coding RNA (1448 nucleotides) under Ananas comosus (pineapple). Its description in RNAcentral is "long non-coding RNA (ACOM_LNC022989)". The record is from RNAcentral. Lineage: Eukaryota; Viridiplantae; Streptophyta; Magnoliopsida; Poales; Bromeliaceae.
GCUAUCCUUAUUGUUGGAAGCAUGAUUUUCUCUGAUACCUAUUAUUGGGAGCGUAAUUUUCUCUGAUAUUAAUUGUUGGAACUAGUAUUUGUGCUAAUACCGAUUAUAGAACCCAGAACAAAACAUAAUAUGAAGAAAAUAUAUUAUGGGAGGAAGAAAAAAAUAAAUUAAUACUUUAUUAAUAAAAAGUAAUUAAUUAUAUUCUGGACAAUACCCAUGGAAUUAUAUCUACCGUGACUUAUUCCUACGCCUAACUAUAUAUAACUAUCGAGUCAUAAGAGAUGAUAAAUCCAACUCUUACUUUGGAUAAGUAACCUAAUAUUUUUUGAUAAGUUUAGAUUUAUUUCUGUCAGAUUCAUCUCUUAAUAUUUUGUUGGUUAGACAUAAGAGAUAAGUUUAAAUCUUAUUCAAUUAUUAGUAUUAGGAUUUUAAUUUAUGUCUAUACAUUAAUACAUAUAUAUAUAUAUAUAUAUAUAUAUAAACUGCUGCAAAUGUGUGAAAAAUAAUUCACUACCGAAAUCUAGUCCAAGAAUAUUUAAUAAAAUUUUUAGUUUAAUUUGCUGCAAUACUCCUCUCCAAAUGAUAUCGAAGCAAAUUACGCUUCCAACACUUAGGGACCGUUUGGUUAGAUAUAAUUAUAAAUACAGUGUAGUUAGAGGCACAAGCAGUUGAAAAUGUAGCCGUUACAACUAUAUCCAUUCUGUUUGGUUAGAUGUAGUAGAAAAUGUUGCAAGUAUAAAUAAUUUAUUUGGUUGCAUGCAGUUGAGAUAUAAUUUCUAAAAUUUUAUUAUUUUAUAUAUAUGAUGGUGAGAUUACCUCCUAUGUAAAAAAUAAAAAAAAAAUUUGUUUAAAAAAUAAUUGAGCAGGUAAGUAUACCUUUUAUUUAAAGUUACUCUCUGAGUCUCUUCAACUACUGCGGCCAAUUUGGGUAUAGUUCGAACUGCCGUAUUUGGGCCUCCUGCAGUUUUUACUACACCAGUUGGAGUUAAAUAUAUUAAACUAAACACUAUAGGUAGCAUUUGGAUUGGGGAUAAGGAGUGGAAUAACCCCUUAUCCCCUCUUUAUACCCAAACGCUAAUUUUUUAUUCGAGAAUAGUAGUUCUCGGUUACCUAUAAUAACCGGAUAUAACUAUUCCCAUCAACAUCUCCAUUUUCUAUAUAUAACUACCCAUUAAUUUUCUUAUUCCAUAUUAUCUAUCCAAACGCUAUUUUUCUUAUUUCCGGAAAUAACCUAAUUUUCAUCCAAACGUUAUUUUUCUUAUCCCCAUACUUGUACCUAUUUCUGUAAUAGCUAGUUCUUACUUAUACCCGAACCAAACGCUACAUAGUUAUAACUACAGUGCAGUUACAACUGCAUACAACAAAACGGUCCCUUAGGGGGUGUUUGGUUCCCUGUAAAACUGGUCCGAAAAGUUUUUUUCGAUCGAAAAUUUUUUUUCCGAUGUUUG